RNAcentral lists this ribosomal RNA (429 nucleotides) under Fusobacteriota bacterium. RNAcentral's name for it is "Fusobacteria bacterium partial 16S ribosomal RNA". It matches the Rfam family "Bacterial small subunit ribosomal RNA", at positions 355 to 776 of the family's 1533-position model. The record is from RNAcentral. Lineage: Bacteria; Fusobacteriati; Fusobacteriota.
UGGGGAAUAUUGCGCAAUGGGCGAAAGCCUGACGCAGCGACGCCGCGUGAGGGAUGAAGGUUUUCGGAUCGUAAACCUCUGUCAGAAGGGAAGAAACCGCACUGUGCUAAUCAGCAGUGCCUUGACGGUACCUUCAAAGCAAGCACCGGCUAACUCCGUGCCAGCAGCCGCGGUAAUACGGAGGGUGCAAGCGUUAAUCGGAAUUACUGGGCGUAAAGCGCACGUAGGCUGCUUUGUAAGUCAGGGGUGAAAUCCCACGGCUCAACCGUGGAACUGCCUUUGAUACUGCUUAGCUUGAAUCCGGGAGAGGGUGGCGGAAUUCCAGGUGUAGGAGUGAAAUCCGUAGAUAUCUGGAGGAACAUCAGUGGCGAAGGCGGCCACCUGGACCGGUAUUGACGCUGAGGUGCGAAAGCGUGGGGAGCAAACAGG